Molecule: ribosomal RNA, 822 nt
Filed under: Triticum aestivum (bread wheat)
Lineage: Eukaryota; Viridiplantae; Streptophyta; Magnoliopsida; Poales; Poaceae
Description: partial small subunit ribosomal RNA
Source: RNAcentral
AUGCCAAUGCCGUGGAUGCCUCCCUAUGCUCAUAUAGAUACAUAUUCAUCAUGGGACAGGUAUGAUACAAGGGCACAUUCUCCAUCUUAUUUUAGACCAUCUCACCAAUAUUAUGCAGCUCCAAGAAGAUCAACAUCUGAACAAUCACAUGUUAAAGACCGUUUCAAUCAUAAUGAAUCGGUCCCGAGCUCAAGGAAGAAGAAAGAGGUGGUCAAACAAGUUUACCUCAUUAAAAGAGAUGGUCGUAAGAGUGUUACUUCAGAUUUGAUCUCAAAUGAAAAAGAGCCAAUGAAAGUGUUGACAUUGGCUACUAAAGGCAAUGAGAUGGAGCAACCAAUUAUUGAGAGUCAAAGUGCCAAAUCUGAAGAAAAGAAGUUGAGAGUGCACAAGGCCAAGAAAGAAUUGCCAUUGGCCAAAACAGAAUCACAGCCGAGAUGCCCAUUCGGCUUAUCAUAUUGGCAAAAGAAGGAAUUACAAAAUCUUAGUGCACAAGAGCUGAGAAAGAGGAACAUGGCAUGGGUUCCCAAGAGGAUCAAUCAUAACAAAAACGAUGUGCAUGCUUCAAUUGCAACAAGUACAAUGAAAGUGAAGAAAGAGAAGGAUGGAAGUAACAAACAAUUAAGCCGAAGGUGUGCAUCACAACAUCAAAAUCUUCGGUUAGCACAACAUCCAUUUUCUUCAACAAUGCCAUUGAUGCCUUUGCCAUGGAAUUCAUCCACAGGUAUGAUCCAUCACCCUCCAUGGACUUACUUUGAUCCAUGGAUGCAACAUAAUUUUUUAUAUCAUGACAGAGUAUUACCAAAUCACUAUACAUUUGGUUAG